UACGAGGGGGGCGAGCGUUGUUCGGAAUUAUUGGGCGUAAAGAGCUCGUAGGCGGCUUGUUGCGUCUGCUGUGAAAUCCCGGGGCUUAACCCCGGGCGUGCAGUGGAUACGGGCAGGCUGGAGGCAGGCAGGGGAGAAUGGAAUUCCCGGUGUAGCGGUGAAAUGCGCAGAUAUCGGGAGGAACACCGGUGGCGAAGGCGGUUCUCUGGGCCUGUUCUGACGCUGAGGAGCGAAAGCGUGGGGAGCGAACAGG
RNAcentral lists this ribosomal RNA (253 nucleotides) under uncultured bacterium. RNAcentral describes it as "partial 16S ribosomal RNA". It matches the Rfam family "Bacterial small subunit ribosomal RNA", at positions 524 to 776 of the family's 1533-position model. The record is from RNAcentral.